Molecule: ribosomal RNA, 465 nt
Filed under: Vreelandella stevensii
Lineage: Bacteria; Pseudomonadati; Pseudomonadota; Gammaproteobacteria; Oceanospirillales; Halomonadaceae
Description: partial 16S ribosomal RNA
Rfam family: Bacterial small subunit ribosomal RNA
Source: RNAcentral
CCUACGGGCGGCAGCAGUGGGGAAUAUUGGACAAUGGGCGAAAGCCUGAUCCAGCCAUGCCGCGUGUGUGAAGAAGGCCUUCGGGUUGUAAAGCACUUUCAGUGGGGAAGAAAGCCUUGGGGCUAAUACCCUCGAGGAAGGACAUCACCCACAGAAGAAACACCGGCUAACUCCGUGCCAGCAGCCGCGGUAAUACGGAGGGUGCGAGCGUUAAUCGGAAUUACUGGGCGUAAAGCGCGCGUAGGCGGUCUGAUAAGCCGGUUGUGAAAGCCCCGGGCUCAACCUGGGAACGGCAUCCGGAACUGUCAGGCUAGAGUGCAGGAGAGGAAGGUAGAAUUCCCGGUGUAGCGGUGAAAUGCGUAGAGAUCGGGAGGAAUACCAGUGGCGAAGGCGGCCUUCUGGACUGACACUGACGCUGAGGUGCGAAAGCGUGGGUAGCAAACAGGAUUAGAUACCCGAGUAGUC